GACGAACGCUGGCGGCGUGCCUAAUACAUGCAAGUUGAGCGCUGAAGGUUGGUACUUGUACCAACUGGAUGAGCAGCGCACGGGUGAGUAACGCGUGGGGAAUCUGCCUUUGAGCGGGGGACAACAUUUGGAAACGAAUGCUAAUACCGCAUAAAAACUUUAAACACAAGUUUUAAGUUUGAAAGAUGCAAUUGCAUCACUCAAAGAUGAUCCCGCGUUGUAUUAGCUAGUUGGUGAGGUAAAGGCUCACCAAGGCGAUGAGACAUAGCCGACCUGAGAGGGUGGUCGGCCAGAUUGGGACUGAGACACGGCCCAAGCGCCUACGGGAGGCAGCAGUAGGGAAACUUCGGCAAGGGACGAAAGUCUGAACGAGCAACGCCGAGUGGGUGAAGAAGGGUUUCGGAUCGUAAAACUCUGUUGGUAGAGAAGAACGUUGGUGAGGGUGGAAAGCUCAUCAAGUGACGGUAACUAACCAGAAAGGAACGGCUAACUACGUG
Molecule: ribosomal RNA, 497 nt
Filed under: uncultured bacterium
Lineage: Bacteria
Description: partial 16S ribosomal RNA
Rfam family: Bacterial small subunit ribosomal RNA
Source: RNAcentral